This 381-nucleotide ribosomal RNA is filed under the name Escherichia coli. RNAcentral describes it as "bacterial SSU rRNA". It matches the Rfam family "Bacterial small subunit ribosomal RNA", at positions 1050 to 1431 of the family's 1533-position model. Lineage: Bacteria; Pseudomonadati; Pseudomonadota; Gammaproteobacteria; Enterobacterales; Enterobacteriaceae. The record is from RNAcentral. RNAcentral also lists the same sequence under 2 other names.
UGUCGUCAGCUCGUGUUGUGAAAUGUUGGGUUAAGUCCCGCAACGAGCGCAACCCUUAUCCUUUGUUGCCAGCGGUCCGGCCGGGAACUCAAAGGAGACUGCCAGUGAUAAACUGGAGGAAGGUGGGGAUGACGUCAAGUCAUCAUGGCCCUUACGACCAGGGCUACACACGUGCUACAAUGGCGCAUACAAAGAGAAGCGACCUCGCGAGAGCAAGCGGACCUCAUAAAGUGCGUCGUAGUCCGGAUUGGAGUCUGCAACUCGACUCCAUGAAGUCGGAAUCGCUAGUAAUCGUGGAUCAGAAUGCCACGGUGAAUACGUUCCCGGGCCUUGUACACACCGCCCGUCACACCAUGGGAGUGGGUUGCAAAAGAAGUAGGU